UGAAAGGUUGACCUCGGAUCAGGUAGGGAUACCCGCUGAACUUAAGCAUAUCAAUAAGCGGAGGAAAAGAAACCAACAGGGAUUGCCCUAGUAACGGCGAGUGAAGCGGCAACAGCUCAAAUUUGAAAUCUGGCGCAAGCCCGAAUUGUAAUUUGUAGAGGAUGCUUCGAGGCAGCGGCCGGUCUAAGUUCCUUGGAACAGGACGUCAUAGAGGGUGAGAAUCCCGUACGUGACUGGUUGGCACCUCACACGUAGCUCCUUCGACGAGUCGAGUUGUUUGGGAAUGCAGCUCUAAAUGGGAGGUAAAUUCCUUCUAAAGCUAAAUACCGGCCAGAGACCGAUAGCGCACAAGUAGAGUGAUCGAAAGAUGAAAAGCACUUUGGAAAGAGAGUUAAAAAGCACGUGAAAUUGUUGAAAGGGAAGCGCUUGCAACCAGACUUGACGGCGGCGUUCAACCGGUCUUCUGACCGGCCCACUCGUCGCCGGCAGGCCAGCAUCGUCUCGGGCCGCCGGAGAAAGGCGUGAGGAAUGUGGCUCCUCCGGGAG
RNAcentral lists this ribosomal RNA (546 nucleotides) under Dothideomycetes sp. genotype 729 JMUR-2016. RNAcentral's name for it is "eukaryotic LSU rRNA". It matches the Rfam family "Eukaryotic large subunit ribosomal RNA", at positions 1 to 551 of the family's 3401-position model. The record is from RNAcentral. Lineage: Eukaryota; Fungi; Ascomycota; Dothideomycetes.